AAUCCAGUAAUGAGUGUUUAUUUUUGUUCAUCAGUGAAUGAAAACGGUUUUUAUCCUAAUAUGAAUUCAGCUUAUGAUCCUGAAUUUAUAUUGUUAAAGCAGUUAAUGAUAUUAUUUCAGAGUUAUAACUGACUUAGCAAAGUCACGUUAUUUAUUUAAGCGAGAUGAAAUUUGAUUUUAUUUUUACUCAGAUCGUGAAUUAUUUCCGACUCAGGAAGUUAAUUAAAUCUGCGGAUUUAAUUUAGAUAUCAGAACAACGAACGAAUUAAAUCUACGGAUUUAAUUUAGAUUCAUUUUAUAAUUUAUCGGUUUUAGUGAGAAAUCACAUGUCGAAAUACGAGAUUUAUUUAAAUAAACAGUAUCAAGCAUAUACGAGCACACGAUCCAUCUUACAGUUACAGAAUCACCGAGACAGAGAAAAUACAUCAAUAAUUCUCCUCUACAUUUUUUUUUCCUUUCUUUUUCUUCUCUUUUUCUUUCCAUUAAUUUUGUUCCCCACUCCAUCAACUCCACUACCCUAUGCUCCCCACCAUCUCCACUACCUUUGCUCCCCAUCAACUCCAACACUUCACCCAUUCCUUCCAUUUCGCACCAGCAAUCACAAAGAGAAGGAAGACUUGGCUUAACUACUUUGCCAAGAUUUCAAGCUGCUCCAGUCCAGUAGUACCCCAACACUCGAAGCUAGAGUUUAUUGGGUGAAAAACCGUGCAUGAGGUCGAGCGCAAGAAUAAGAGCUCGUCAAGGAGUCACUAAUCUGUAGCAAAGCUUUGCUAUCAGGUUGAGCAGCUGCCGAUGGUGAUGAAGUGACGAGCGGGACUCUUUUGUCUUAUUAUGUAUUAAUGAACUCUAGGGUUACAUGUCUUCAUACAUGUAAUCAGAACCUUAUUCCGCUGCGUACUCAGAAGUUUUAUGUUAUUUUGGAUAAGUCGGAGUUAUCCGAACUUGUUAGUUAUUUGAGUCUAUACGACAAAAACUCUGUUAUAUUAUAGAUAUCUAUGUUGUUAACAAUGAUGAAAUACGAUCCUUUCUUGUUUGAUUA
Long non-coding RNA from Salvia miltiorrhiza (redroot sage), 1039 nucleotides. RefSeq lists it as uncharacterized. Lineage: Eukaryota; Viridiplantae; Streptophyta; Magnoliopsida; Lamiales; Lamiaceae. The transcript is spliced from 3 exons. The record is from RefSeq and is a predicted model, not a curated record.